CUUGAUCGAGCCCAGCCACAGUGGGUGUUCGGCGUCGUGCUCCUUGCCGUAGGUGGCGAGCAGGGCCUGCGCCUC
RNAcentral lists this antisense RNA (75 nucleotides) under Streptomyces mangrovisoli. RNAcentral's name for it is "ASpks TB sRNA". It matches the Rfam family "ASpks TB sRNA". The record is from Rfam by way of RNAcentral. Lineage: Bacteria; Bacillati; Actinomycetota; Actinomycetes; Kitasatosporales; Streptomycetaceae.